AAAAAUUAUCUCCAGAAGUCAACAUUGCCAGAGAGUGAAUAAUGACACACAGCGUGGGGAAGGUAGGAUUAAUGCAUUAUUUGAUCAGAAGUCAUGAUUUUUUCCUCAUUAUUACUUAAUCAUGAUGCAAUCCCAGACCUACAAACCUUAAUCUCAGGGGAGCUUCAGAAGUAGUCAGAUGCACAUGUUGGCUGCUGAAGUUCAUGUGGCUUUUUUUGUGGAGUCCAGAAGCUUUGAAGUCACAAGAAGAGAAGAAGAGCUAAGAUCAUGUGCCCGAACCUGAAUCCGUGAUGAUCAUGGUGGACUGCUGCAUGUUUCUGGGUUCUGCACCGGUCACAGGCCAAGCCCCUGCAGUCAAGAUGGC
RNAcentral lists this long non-coding RNA (364 nucleotides) under Vulpes vulpes (red fox). Its description in RNAcentral is "lncRNA (ENSVVUG00000021418.1)". The record is from RNAcentral. Lineage: Eukaryota; Metazoa; Chordata; Mammalia; Carnivora; Canidae.